RNAcentral lists this ribosomal RNA (274 nucleotides) under uncultured bacterium. Its description in RNAcentral is "partial 16S ribosomal RNA". It matches the Rfam family "Bacterial small subunit ribosomal RNA", at positions 523 to 796 of the family's 1533-position model. The record is from RNAcentral.
AUACGUAGGAACCGAGCGUUGUCCGGAUUUACUGGGCGUAAAGGGCGCGUAGGCGGCCCAUCAAGUCUCAUGUGAAAUCUCCCGGCUCAACUGGGAGGGGUCAUGGGAAACUGGUAGGCUCGAGGGCAGUAGAGGAAAGCGGAAUUCCCGGAGUAGUGGUGAUAUGCGUAGAUACCGGGAGGAACACCAGAGGCGAAGGCGGCUUUCUGGACUGUACCUGACGCUGAGGCGCGAGAGCAUGGGGAGCAAACCGGAUUAGAUACCCGUGUAGUCC